GAUGAACGCUGGCGGCGUGCCUAAUACAUGCAAGUCGAGCGAACAGACGAGGAGCUAGAUACUCUGACGUUAGAGACGGACAGGUGAGUAACACGUGGCACACCAACCUACACACCUGGGAUAACUUCGGGAAACCGGAGCUAAUACCGGAUAAUAUAUUGAACCGCAUGGUUCAAUAGUGAAAGACGGUUUUGCUGUCACUUAUAGAUGGAUCCGCGCCGCAUUAGCUAGUUGGUAAGGUAACGGCUUACCAAGGCAACGAUGCGUAGCCGACCUGAGAGUGUGAUCGGCCACACUGGAACUGAGACACGGUCCAGACUCCUACGGGAGGCAGCAGUAGGGAAUCUUCCGCAAUGGUCGAAAGCCUGACGGAGCAACGCCGCGUGAGUGAUGAAGGUCUUCGGAUCGUAAAACUCUGUUAUUAGGGAAUAACAAAUGUGUAAGUAACUAUGCACGUCUUGACGGUACCUAAUCAGAAAGCCACGGCUAACUACGUG
This 497-nucleotide ribosomal RNA is filed under the name uncultured bacterium. Its description in RNAcentral is "partial 16S ribosomal RNA". It matches the Rfam family "Bacterial small subunit ribosomal RNA", at positions 28 to 507 of the family's 1533-position model. The record is from RNAcentral.